GAGUUUGAUCGUGGCUCAGGACGAACGCUGGCGGCGCGCCUAACACAUGCAAGUCGAACGAGCAAGAGAGAGCUUGCUUUCUCGAGCGAGUGGCGAACGGGUGAGUAACGCGUGAGGAACCUGCCUCAAAGAGGGGGACAACAGUUGGAAACGACUGCUAAUACCGCAUAAGCCCACGACCCGGCAUCGGGUUGAGGGAAAAGGAGCAAUCCGCUUUGAGAUGGCCUCGCGUCCGAUUAGCUAGUUGGUGAGAUAACGGCCCACCAAGGCGACGAUCGGUAGCCGGACUGAGAGGUUGAACGGCCACAUUGGGACUGAAACACGGCCCAGACUCCUACGGGAGGCAGCAGUGGGGAAUAUUGCACAGUGGGGGAAACCCUGAUGCAGCGACGCCGCGUGGAGGAAGAAGGUCUUCGGAUUGUAAACUUCUUUCACCAGGGACGAAGGACGUGACGGUACCUGGAGAAAAAGCCACGGCUAAC
This 482-nucleotide ribosomal RNA is filed under the name uncultured bacterium. RNAcentral describes it as "bacterial SSU rRNA". It matches the Rfam family "Bacterial small subunit ribosomal RNA", at positions 9 to 501 of the family's 1533-position model. The record is from RNAcentral.